AACGAACGCUGGCGGCAUGCCUAACACAUGCAAGUCGAACGAGACCUUCGGGUCUAGUGGCGCACGGGUGCGUAACGCGUGGGAAUCUGCCCAUGGGUUCGGAAUAACAGUUGGAAACGACUGCUAAUACCGGAUGAUGUCGUAAGUCCAAAGAUUUAUCGCCCAGGGAUGAGCCCGCGUAGGAUUAGCUAGUUGGUGGGGUAAAGGCCUACCAAGGCGAGGUGACUUAGCUGGUCUGAGAGGAUGAUCAGCCACACUGGGACUGAGACACGGCCCAGAAUCCUACGGGAGGCAGCAGUGGGGAAUAUUGGCCAAUGGGCGAAAGCCUGAUCCAGCAAUGACGCGUGAGUGAUGAAGGCCUUAGGGUUGUAAAGCUCUUUUACCCGGGAUGAUAAUGACAGUACCGGGAGAAUAAGCCCCGGCUAACUCCGUG
Molecule: ribosomal RNA, 433 nt
Filed under: uncultured bacterium
Lineage: Bacteria
Description: partial 16S ribosomal RNA
Rfam family: Bacterial small subunit ribosomal RNA
Source: RNAcentral